Molecule: transfer RNA, 71 nt
Filed under: Novacetimonas hansenii
Lineage: Bacteria; Pseudomonadati; Pseudomonadota; Alphaproteobacteria; Acetobacterales; Acetobacteraceae
Description: Komagataeibacter hansenii tRNA-OTHER
Source: RNAcentral
CGGCUGUAGCCUCAAUAUGGUAGAGGCGCUGACUUUAGUCAGAAGUCCCGGUUCGAUUCCGGGCUGUCGAA